Molecule: ribosomal RNA, 429 nt
Filed under: bacterium
Lineage: Bacteria
Description: partial 16S ribosomal RNA
Rfam family: Bacterial small subunit ribosomal RNA
Source: RNAcentral
UAGGGAAUCUUCCACAAUGGACGCAAGUCUGAUGGAGCAACGCCGCGUGAGUGAAGAAGGUUUUCGGAUCGUAAAGCUCUGUUGUUGGUGAAGAAGGAUAGAGGUAGUAACUGGCCUUUAUUUGACGGUAAUCAACCAGAAAGUCACGGCUAACUACGUGCCAGCAGCCGCGGUAAUACGUAGGUGGCAAGCGUUGUCCGGAUUUAUUGGGCGUAAAGCGAGCGCAGGCGGAAGAAUAAGUCUGAUGUGAAAGCCCUCGGCUUAACCGAGGAACUGCAUCGGAAACUGUUUUUCUUGAGUGCAGAAGAGGAGAGUGGAAUUCCAUGUGUAGCGGUGGAAUGCGUAGAUAUAUGGAAGAACACCAGUGGAGAAGGCGACUCUCUGGUCUGCAACUGACGCUGAGGCUCGAAAGCAUGGGUAGCGAACAGG